Molecule: small RNA, 4124 nt
Filed under: Pongo abelii (Sumatran orangutan)
Lineage: Eukaryota; Metazoa; Chordata; Mammalia; Primates; Hominidae
Description: processed transcript
Source: RNAcentral
AGGAGAUGGAGGAGAGCCUAGGGGUGCAGAGGAAAGUCUCGAAGGCGCUGGUUGAGGAGGGGCUGGGUCGAGAGGAGCUGGGACGGGGGAAGAGUAGAGUCUAAAGUCCUUGAGGGCUAAGGAGAGAAGUUGAGGUAGGGACUGGUCGGAAUACAUGGGUGGGGGCGUGGUAAGAGUGUAGUUUUUGGGAGGCUAUAGAGUUGGAAGGGGCUGGUGGCUGCGGUUUUGAUGCUGACAUGACCAUAUACUUGGCCUUUGUUUCUCUGCAGCUCCCCAGAGACGCUCAUCCUACAGCCUCAGCUCGGGCCCAGCCUUCUCUCUCCAGCUGCCACCACAGCCUGGAGGCGCCUGCCUCCACCCUCCCGAAUGGUGCUCCUCCUAGCAGGCCUCGGCCCAGGAUCCAAGCCCCCUUUGCCCCCUGCCUUGGAGCUGUUGCUCCGGGUUUGUCAUAGUGGACUCCCUGUGGCGGGAAGGGAAGAACUUUUGCACAGACAAGGCUUCAGCUCUAGGAACCCCACUGACAACUUGAAUCUCAACCUCUAACCUAGUGUGAGGUUCUUCCUGUGCCCACCUUUUCUGCCUUUUGAGAAGAGAAACUCUUCUCCUGGCCAUCUAGAGCCCAGGAAGCCCCAAGCUGGGGCCCUGGUCCCAGCAUGUCAGUCCUCUCUUGUGCAUAGGGCUCUGCCCUCCCCCUGUCAGCAUGGCUGAGCUCAGACAGGUUCCAGGAGGGCGGGAGACCCCACAGGGGGAGCUGCGGCCUGAAGUUGUAGAGGAUGAAGUACCUAGGAGCCCAGUCGCAGAAGAGCCUGGAGGAGGUGGAAGCAGCAGCAGUGAGGCCAAAUUGUCCCCAAGAGAGGAAGAAGAACUGGAUCCUAGAAUACAGCUGAGUGCCAGGAGUCCCUGGUGAAGCAGGCCAAAUGGAAUGUGUUGCUGACUGCCCAAAACCAUCCCAGGUCCUCAGUGGAUUCCUGCUCUGCCUUUCCUUGGGUGUCCCCUAGUAGUAACAACUUAUGCUGAGCCAUCCAAUCCAUUGAUGAUCUCGUCAGGAGCUGGAAGUUGAUGACUGAAAGCAUUUGAGGCCAUGGAAUCCAGUGGGGAUCCAGUCUUGGUCUUUGAUUUGCCACAUGAACAUUGCAGGGUGGCCUUUAACAACUGACCCCCCAUAAUCAAUGUUUGUUGCAUUUCCAAUCCCUGUCCUUUUUCUACGUGGGCUGUGGUUUUCCUAGAUUACAGCACUUCUUUCUUUACUGAGAUGUCCUUCCAGUGGUGUCCUCUGUCCCAGGAGGGUGGCGACAGUGGAAGGAAAGUGAGAUCAAAGAUCGGUCCUGGAUCCAGACCCAAGUCUGUCACUAAUUUUCCGCCUGGUUGUUUCUCAUCUGUCAAAUGCAAAGUUGCUGAGGAAGAAUAUUCCAGUAGGAGGUGCUGAAAAAACUGGUCACUCGUCUCCCAGAUAACCUAAAAGCCCCUGUAGGCCACGUGAAGCCCCAGGAAGCUGGGCCCCCGGGGAGGAGGAGUUGGAGCACCUGAACCAGGCCAGCGAGGAGAUCAACCAGGUGGAACUACAGCUGGACGAGGCCAGGACCACCUAUCGGAGGAUCCUGCAGGAGUCGGCGAGGAAACUGAAUACACAGGGUUCCCACUUGGGGAGCUGCAUCGAGAAAGCCCGGCCCUACUAUGAGGCUCGGCGGCUGGCUAAGGAGGGGAAAAGGCUAGCAGCCUUUGGGAGUGCUGGAUUUCACACACCUACCCCCCUCUGGCAAAAUUUUUAUUUCUUCUAGUCCAUAUCCUUAUGAAAUAUUCUUUAUAGAAUGUUGCUUCCUUGGCAUUUAUCCUCAGCACAGUUUGGGAAAUGAAGCCGACAUUGCUAGCUCAGCAGGAGACACAGAAGGCAGCGCUGCGGUACGAGCGGGCCGUAAGCAUGCACAACGCUGCUCGGGAAAUGGUGUUUGUGGCUGAGCAGGGCGUCAUGGCUGACAAGAACCGACUGGACCCCACGUGGCAGGAGAUGCUGAACCAUGCUACCUGCAAGGUGAAUGAGGCGGAGGAAGAGCGGCUUCGAGGUGAGCGGGAGCACCAGCGAGUGACUCGGCUGUGCCAACAGGCUGAGGCUCGGGUCCAAGCCCUGCAGAAGACCCUCCGGAGGGCCAUCGGCAAGAGCCGCCCCUACUUUGAGCUCAAGGCCCAGUUCAGCCAGAUCCUGGAGGAGCACAAGGCCAAGGUGACAGAACUGGAGCAGCAGGUAGCUCAGGCCAAGACGCGCUACUCCGUGGCCCUUCGUAACCUGGAGCAGAUCAGCGAGCAGAUUCACGCGCGGCGCCGCGGGGAUCUGCCUCCCCACCCGCUGGGCCCUCGGCGCUCCUCCCCCGUGGGGGCUGAAGCAGGACCUGAGGACACAGAGGACGGAGACAGCGGGAUUGAGGGGGCCGAGGGUGCGGGGCUGGAGGAGGGCAGCAGCCUGGGGCCCGGCCCCGCCCCCGACACCGAUACGCUGAGUCUGCUGAGCCUGCGCACGGUGGCCUCAGACCUGCAGAAGUGCGACUCCGUGGAGCACUUGCGAGGCCUCUCGGACCACGUCAGUCUGGACGGCCAAGAGCUGGGAACCCGGAGUGGAGGGCGCCGGGGCAGCGACGGCGGAGUCCGUGGGGGUCGGCACCAGCGCAGCGUCAGCCUGUAGCCGAGGGGCCAGGGUUCCUGGCUUGAAUCUGCUACCACGGGCCGGUUGGGGCCCACAGUCUUCUCACGCCCUCUCCUCUGGGGCCUCGUCUUCCCGAAGGUCCCCUUCUCCAGUGCUUCCCUGGGAGAGGCCAGCUGUGUUCGAGUCCUCUGUGCCUGCCCUGGCGUUCUCACAGCCGCCCCCGUCCCCUCAGCAGGCAGCUCUCUUUGCCUUACCCAUUCAGAAGGCUUGCCCUCGGCGCUCUGUCUGCCUCUGCCUGCUGGCUCAUCACAAUCUGCGGGGCAUUGACCCUUUGCUUUCCCUUUCUGCUCCCUCUCUUUCCAUCUGUUUGGCUUUUUCCCUCAGGGAACUUGGUCUAGAAGGCACUGGGAAGCUCAUCAGAGAAAAUGGGUGCUGGGCCUGAGUACUCCCGUCGGAGGGGAUGGACAGUCACCCCUCCCGUUGGUUUCCGGCCCCGCCCCCCUUCCCAAGGCAACUCUGGAGAGUACCCUAGGUAUGCUGCUGAGCCCUGCACCCCCGUCCUGCUCCAGCCUGCCCGUGUGUAACCCGUAAGAUGUACUGUGUGCCUCUGGAAGACACCACCUUUCCCUUCAGCAUUCCCUUUCAUGACCUGAGGCACUCUGCGAUGUGUUCCCCAAAGCAGAACUUACAGGACCUGCAGGAAGCUGGUGUCAGGGAGAGAAACCCAACCCUGCUGUCAACAUAGGGAGUAUCACCAACUCCAGACUGGCUCCUGUGGGUAUGGUGUUUCCGCUGGGCUGGGUCCUCAACAUUGCCAGGGUGCUAGUGGGUCCUUAACAGGGCCCAUGUUGGGGGUGAAGUCAUGAGGUCCUGAAGGCUUAGGCCCCUGUCAUUCCCACCCUCACUCUUGCUGCACAGUUGUGUUUACCUUUUCUGGGUAGAGGAUGCUGAACUGACUCAGCACCCUCCUGCAGGGCAGGGUUAGGGAAUUUGGUGCUCAAUUGUUCUCCCUUGCUCUUCCCCAAACUGAACAAUACCUACUGCAGGAUCCCUCGGGGCACACUGAAGCUUGGCUGCCAACCCUCUUACUUCCUUUGCUACAGGGAGGGGUUGGCUUGGGGUGAAAAGUUCUGCCCUCCGCAGGGAGCAGCUCCAGCUGCCUGGCAGUGCUCCCAGUUUGUAGGGAAGCCACACCAGAUCUGGGUGCCUUGGGAGAACCGGUCCUUCCUUUUGACCCACCCCAGGAUGAUGGAGUGCUCUCGUCUAGGCCCAUGUUCUGCCAGCGACCGGGAUGAGUGGGCAACUAGACUCUGCACGGGGGUCUACAGGUUGAGGGAGGUUGGUCACAAUGAGAACCUCGGGGUUUGAGGUGGCCAUGGGCAGAGAGCAGAAAGGGAGGGAGGGUGUGGGUGUGCGUAUGUGCAUGUGCUGGUGUGUAAGGGGGAAAGGGUCUUUCCUGGUUUUAUUUAAAUAAAGUAGUUUAUGUAAC